This is a long non-coding RNA of Choloepus didactylus (southern two-toed sloth), 3084 nucleotides long. RefSeq lists it as uncharacterized. Lineage: Eukaryota; Metazoa; Chordata; Mammalia; Pilosa; Megalonychidae. The transcript has 2 exons. The record is from RefSeq and is a predicted model, not a curated record.
GUACAUUAUUUUCUAUAUACUUGAAAUAUUUAAGUUUUUUAAUAGAAAAAAAAAAAAAAAGGUAGUCUAAUCCUUUUUCUUUUAUUACCAGCAUAAGGCAACAGGGCACACAAGAGUUUCUUACAGAGAAGGCAGCUCACAUCCUCCCCAGAGCCUGCAGCCUCCCUCUGAGGUAGGUACAGGGUGCAGGCUGUGCUGACACCUGCUCUGCAGCUGGGGAAACAAGGCCUGGAGCCCAGAGGACUGUCCCCAUAGCCCAGGACAGAGUUCUGUAGGGAGGGCCAGAGCCAAAGGUUGAAGUAUUUUGGAUCUGUUGGGUUAAAUAAACCAUAGUAACAUCAAUUUCACCUUUUCUUCUUCACUCCUAUGUGGCUACUAGAGAACUCAAGGGUGUCCAGGUCUUUCAUCCUGUGUCUGAUGGACAGCGCAAGUCUAGGGCCCAGCCCUGGACCCGCUGAUGCCGCAGCACACAAGGGAUUCUUGGCUGUGGUCACCCAGUCCACCUGGGUGAGUGAGGUGCAAUCACCCGGACUUCCCAAAUAUGUGACUGCCAUACCCUGAGCAGAAGAUACUAGAAGGCUAGAAGGCCUCAAGCAUGGUGCAGAGCAGAAGGGCAACAAGGGAGGAAGAUGGGGAACGCCACAGCUUAGCAGUUGCCCCAACCCCCCUUCCUCAGAGAGGUCUUUUAGCUUCAGUCCACAGUAAAGCCCAGUCUCCACCAUCCCUGGGUACGAUGGCCAGAAUCAGAAAUGACACAGAGGGACGGUGCUGUCCUCCCCCACACAGCAGCAACUUCAAACAACCUUUAGCAGCAACAACUACCCCCACAGGAGCCCAGACGCCAUUCCCUCCACUGCACACCCCUUGGAGGUUUCCAGAAGAUGACUGCAGCCCUGUCUCUCCACAGGAGGCUGCUGCUGGGUACCUGCCUGUCGCGACACCCCCAGGCGGACUCUGAUGUGUGGCUUUGCUCAUACACUUUUCAAGUGAAUCACUCCAAAUUCUGUGAGUAGGGCCACGACAAGGAAGUUGAAGUAGAAGAGGAGAAGGCAGAUGCCGUAGACUUUGCUCAGGUGGAAGCACUGCAGUGGGACGGCAACCAGGGAGAAGACGAGGCUGAGCCCCAGGGCACUGGCCAACACCCACACCAGCAAGCCAUCUGAUUCCAGCUGCAGGAGGAAAGAGAGGGGCUGGGUCAUUCACCAGCACAGGGUGUCCCCUGCUGCCAGUAGGUCACCUUAGACACAGCCGGCAGCUGCAGGGCCUGUACCCUGGGUGGGCAUGCCCCACCUGGAAGUUACCCAGAGGUGGACUCAGACACAGUAGGGAAAAGGAACCUUCUCUACCCCUUCAGUUCCACCUGCCUGGGUGCUUCUCUGAUAGCACAGGCAGCGAUUGAGCAUGUCUCUUUACAACAUGGCUUAUUGUAUAUUUGAAGGCCACUGUUGAGACUUGCUCAGAAAAAGAGGCUCCUUCCAAAAGCUACCUGGUCAUCAUGCAAAAGCUGUGACGGAGAUACACGAUAAGAUGAAAUGUUUUCAAGCAUGCCAACCCAACAUCCCUGCGGCAGCCUAUAGAUGGAGUACUCAUUUCACUUUCAAAGUUCCAAGGCUUCAGUGGACAAAGUAAUCGCAGGCAUUUAGAAGGGGAGCCUGAAGAUGUGAGUAACUGCUGCACUCUCAUACUAAACCUUGAACAGAUGAGGAGCCGCUUCUUGUGGAUGAAUGAAGAAAGUGGUUUCUUGAGAUAAAAUCUGCUCCUGGGGAAGACGCUGUGAAUGUUGUUGAAAUGACAACGAAGGAUUUAGAAUAUCAACUUAGUUGAUGAGGCAGGGUUGGAGAGGAUUGACUCCAAUUUUGAAAAGUUCCACUGUGGGUAAAAAGCUAUCAAACAGCAUGGCAUGCCAAAAGGAAGAGUCAAUCGAAGUGGCAUACUUCGUUGUUAAGAAACUGCCUCAGCCAUCCCAGUCCUUAGCAACCACCACCCUGAUGAGUCAGCAGCCAUCAACAGCAAGCCAAGACUCUCCACCAAGAGAAAGACUACAACUCACUGAAGGCUCAGAUUAUUAUUAUUUUUUAAAAAAGGCUAGCGGUCAAGUAUUGUUAAAGUAUGUACAUUAUUUUUGUAGACAUAAUGCUACUGGACACAUGUUUCCACUAUACUGUAGUCUAUUAUAACUUACAUGCACUGGGAAAUCAUCAAAGUCAUGUGACUUGCCUUGCUGCAGUGAUCUGAAACUGAACCCACAAUAUCUCCAAGCUAUGCCUGUGGAAGGGAACUUCAACAGUGAAAGGCUUAAAACUUUCCCCCUAAGAUCAAGAAUAAGACAAGGAUGCCCUCUUUCACCACUGCUCGAGUACAGUACUAGAACUUCUUGCCAGAACAAUUAGGAAAAAAAAGACAAAAAGGUAUCUAAAUUGGAAAUUUACAGAUAACAUGAUCUUAUAUAUAGAAAACCCAAAGAAAUCCACAAGAAAACUAUUAUAGCUAAUAAAUGAACGCAGCAGGGUGAUAGGGUACAAUAUCAACACUAGCAAAAGACAUCCCAUGUUCCUGGAUCAGGCAAGUUACCCAUGGUUAUGUCAAAGUAUAUAAAAACUUAAUGCCAUGUCUAUUAAAAUUGCCCCAGCUUUUUUUUUGAAAAACCAAUCCUCAAGUUUAUAUAGAACUGCAUGGGCCCCAAAUAUGCAAAACAAUCUUGAAAAAGAACAGGUAGGAGGACUCGUACUUCCUGACUUCGAACUGUAUUACAGUGCAACAGUAAUCAAAACUGGUGUUGGCACAAAGAUGGGCAAAUCUAUUCCACUUCUAGGGCCAACUGAUUUUUGACAAGGGUACUCAGUGCAUGCAGUGGGGAAAGAAUAGCCUCUUUCACAAAUCGUUUUGGGAAAACUGGAUACCCACAUGUAGAAGAAUGAAGUUAGACCCUUACCUCAAAGUAUACACAAAAAAGUCAUCUCAAAAUGUAUCAAGGACCUAAAUGUAAGAGUUAAAAAUCAAGCUAAUAGGGGCAAAUCAUGACCUGGCAUGUGGCAAUGGAUUCUGACUCCAAAAAAAAAAACAAGCAACAAAAUCAGAAUUUAU